CCUACGUGAGGCAGCAGUGGGGAAUAUUUCACAAUGGGGGAAACCCUGAUGCAGCGACGCCGCGUGAGUGAAGAAGUAAUUCGUUAUGUAAAGCUCUAUCAGUAUGGAAGAAAAUGCCGGUACCUGAGUAAUAAUCCCCGGCUCACUAAGUUCCAGCAGCCGUCGUAAUACGUAGGCGGCACGAGUUAUCCGGAUUUACUGGGUGUUAAGGGAGCUUAGACGGCUGGACAAGUCAGGAGUGAAAGGCUGGGGCUCAACACCCGGAUUGCAGUUGAAACUGUAACGCUGGAGUGCAGGAGAGGUAAGUGGAAUUCGUAGGGUAGCGGUGAAAUGCUUAGAUAUGAGGAAGAACACCAGUGGCGAAGGCGGUUUACUGGACUGUAACUGACGUUGAGGCUCGAAAGCGUGGGGAGCAAACAGGAUUAGAUACCCUUGUAGUC
This 440-nucleotide ribosomal RNA is filed under the name uncultured bacterium. RNAcentral describes it as "partial 16S ribosomal RNA". It matches the Rfam family "Bacterial small subunit ribosomal RNA", at positions 338 to 795 of the family's 1533-position model. The record is from RNAcentral.